UCAAAUGAUUUACCAACACAUACCCAACUUUUUUGUCAUCUCACCCACACACUCAAAAGUUGUCGAAAAAAGUUUCCAUAAAGCGAGCAAGUGAAAAUCAGGCGAAAUUUGACAGCGAAUUUCAAAUUUGAUUCUAGUAGGCUGCGAAGAAAAACAUCAAUUUCGCGCAAAAUUUUGGAGAUAGCCAAACAUCAGCAGGAGACUUAAGCCAUCAGAACCUUGAAGAUUGCCAAACAUCUGCAAAGACAUCCACAGCACACUGAACACCAUUGGUCACCAACAGCUCUCAACCCUACAUCAUACCAGCUACAUUGUUCGAUGAGUUUUAUUGUUCAAAUCAGUCAUGCCCAGCGCAGGGCACUUGCAUAUGGA
RNAcentral lists this long non-coding RNA (372 nucleotides) under Rhagoletis pomonella (apple maggot). RNAcentral's name for it is "uncharacterized LOC118741719, transcript variant X1". The record is from RNAcentral. Lineage: Eukaryota; Metazoa; Arthropoda; Insecta; Diptera; Tephritidae.